UUUGUAACGUGGAUGGCAUUUCAAACGUCCUUGAAGAUGGUUAAUACGUCUGUUCCAAGGCCAUACGAAUUGUCAAAUUUCAUCCAUAGACAACAUAACCUAAACAAUUUCUCAUGCAAAAUGAGCUGCCGAAAUUAGCGCGAAGCAGCUUCAAUAGGUUUG
This is a long non-coding RNA of Bradysia coprophila, 162 nucleotides long. Lineage: Eukaryota; Metazoa; Arthropoda; Insecta; Diptera; Sciaridae. The record is from RefSeq and is a predicted model, not a curated record.